CGGCCCGCUACGCCCGGUGCAUAAGGGCAA
RNAcentral lists this small RNA (30 nucleotides) under Bombyx mori (domestic silkworm). Its description in RNAcentral is "ovarian small RNA-14476". Lineage: Eukaryota; Metazoa; Arthropoda; Insecta; Lepidoptera; Bombycidae. The record is from RNAcentral.